CGGAGCGAAUUGCAUGGUUGUUGUUUCUACUCGAUGGAUUCGCAGAUUAUUCGGAAAUAGAUCAGAUUGGGAUCAAUAACUUUAUUGCAUACGAUCAUUUACAUGUAUUACCAGAUGUGUGUUGCCAGUAAUGGUUGAAGAUAUGCCAAACAAAUUGUGCCUCUCUAUACAGACAGAUUUCAGGUCUCAAUUUCAACUUCAAAGGUCAACAUAUCACUGAUAUCAGGAAUUUUGUGAAACUGUGGCACCAUGUAUGGUACGUGAGCGCACAAUGUCUGUUGGAAAAAAGGAUAUUGGAAUAAGCAAAGGGACACAACAUUACACAGUUAUUUCAACAUGUAGAGUCUUGUCAGCAAUAAUGGAGCAGUACAUCAGAUUUCCAGAAUCUCGUCAUGAGCUGAAGAUCAUUGCCUAUGGAUUUCAUGAAUGAUGUAGAAUGAUUGGACUGUUGAUAGAACCCACAGUGCAUGUCCUGCUUCAACAUCUGAGCAUAGGUCCUUGUUUAUCAGCAGUUUAGUUCUUCAAGCAGUCUGUGACAGUAACUUGAAAUGUUUGGACAUAUGCCCUGGAUGGCCAAGUUCUGUGCAUGAUGCCCAUUUAAAUAGGAACGGCCCAGUGGCGCAUUAAAUGGACAAUUUUUAGCAUAGGUGCGUUUACGCACCUAUGCUUAUGGUAUAUACCACAUUUCGAAAAUCCACAUCGGUCGGCUGCCCUUUAUGAAGCUUACCUGAUCAAAAAUCAGACGAAAUAUCUAUUUAAUUUAGUAAAUGGUCAUUCUUACAAAUUUUUUUUGGAAACGUUUUUCUAACGUUUUCUUCCAAGAAUAUUGCUGACACCGUUUUUAGUGCAUUUUUCUAAGACCGUUUUAUGUUAAAAAAUCUUCUUAUAACCUAAAACAAAUUUCGUUCGUAAAACAAUUCUAUCUGCACUAUAAAUCUCAAUCUCCUACGCAGUGGCCUCCCUUAUACUAGAAGUUACUGACCGGGCGAAGCAAGGGAAGUAACUGCUGUGAGGAGUUUCUAUAAAAAUCUGCAUUCAGAAAUCUGUAUUCAUAACUCAAUCUGUUGUGCACGUCUGCAUCUAACCCUACCACAAGUUUUACGACAAAUUCUUGACGCAGACGAAUAGGGUAGCGUCUAUUUUCAUUUGUGAAAAGAAUAGUUCGAUACAGAUCUGUCCGUGCUUAAAUUUUGAAAGGCUUGGGUAAUUAUUGUUCAUAAGCGUUUCAAACACUGAUGUAAAUGGAAAGAUUAUCUAUUUAAAUAGUCGGUAAUUGUUUGAAAUUAUUGAUUUGAGAAAUUCGCGGAUGGCGAUAUCGAAUUACAUUAUACCACGUGACGCCAUUCUUCCCUGUAUCUUGCACCUAUGCUUUUAACGCCAUCGGCGCUCUCGUUCUAAUAUUCUCGUGGAUUCAGCGUACCGCCUGACAAGAAAUCUUGCUUUUUGUUCCGUAUCGAGGCCAUGGACAUUUGUAUCAUUUGCAAAAGAUACUACGAUAUUUGUGCCUUUGUUCAUGCUUUAUAGUUGAUUAACAAUUGGAAGCCAUAACCUGUUUUAUAGGAUGGUGUUAG
Molecule: long non-coding RNA, 1571 nt
Organism: Dreissena polymorpha
Lineage: Eukaryota; Metazoa; Mollusca; Bivalvia; Myida; Dreissenidae
Exons: 4
Source: RefSeq, a predicted model, not a curated record